This 24-nucleotide non-coding RNA is filed under the name Arabidopsis thaliana (thale cress). The record is from RNAcentral. Lineage: Eukaryota; Viridiplantae; Streptophyta; Magnoliopsida; Brassicales; Brassicaceae.
GAUGUAGCCAUAAGAAAAAUUGUG